RNAcentral lists this ribosomal RNA (233 nucleotides) under uncultured bacterium. RNAcentral's name for it is "partial 16S ribosomal RNA". It matches the Rfam family "Bacterial small subunit ribosomal RNA", at positions 794 to 1032 of the family's 1533-position model. The record is from RNAcentral.
UCCACGCCGUAAACGAUGGAUACUAGCUGUUCGACCGCAAGGUUGAGUGGCUAAGCGAAAGUGAUAAGUAUCCCACCUGGGGAGUACGUUCGCAAGAAUGAAACUCAAAGGAAUUGACGGGGGCCCGCACAAGCGGUGGAGCAUGUGGUUUAAUUCGAUGAUACGCGAGGAACCUUACCAGGGCUUAAAUGUAGAUUGCAUAGAGUAGAGAUAUUCUUUUCUUCGGACUAUUU